Molecule: RNase P RNA, 296 nt
Filed under: Stenotrophomonas maltophilia
Lineage: Bacteria; Pseudomonadati; Pseudomonadota; Gammaproteobacteria; Lysobacterales; Lysobacteraceae
Also listed under: 1 other name
Description: RNaseP_bact_a
Rfam family: Bacterial RNase P class A
About the family: Ribonuclease P (RNase P) is a ubiquitous endoribonuclease, found in archaea, bacteria and eukarya as well as chloroplasts and mitochondria. Its best characterised activity is the generation of mature 5'-ends of tRNAs by cleaving the 5'-leader elements of precursor-tRNAs.
Source: RNAcentral
GAGGAAAGUCCGGGCUCCAUAGGGCAAGGUGCCAGGUAACGCCUGGGCGGCGCAAGCCGACGGAAAGUGCAACAGAAAGAUACCGCCUACGUCUUCUUCGGAAGGCCGGUAAGGGUGAAAUGGUGCGGUAAGAGCGCACCGCGAGUCUGGCAACAGACCGGCACGGCAAACCCCACCUGGAGCAAGACCAAAUAGGGAUCCUUUGGCGCGGCCCGCGUUGGAUCCGGGUAGGUUGCUUGAGCGUUGCGGUGACGUAACGCCUAGAGGAAUGACUGUCCACGACAGAACCCGGCUUA